GAUGAACGCUAGCGGCAGGCUUAACACAUGCAAGUCGAGGGGUAUUGGUUUUCGGACCAAGAGACCGGCGCACGGGUGCGUAACGCGUAUGCAAUCUACCUUUUGCAGAGGGAUAGCCCCAGAGAAAUUUGGAUUAAUACCUCAUAGUAUAGUACUUUGGCAUCAAGGAACUAUUAAAGUCACAACGGCAAAAGAUGAGCAUGCGUCCCAUUAGCUAGUUGGUAAGGUAACGGCUUACCAAGGCUACGAUGGGUAGGGGUCCUGAGAGGGAGAUCCCCCACACUGGUACUGAGACACGGACCAGACUCCUACGGGAGGCAGCAGUGAGGAAUAUUGGACAAUGGGCGCAAGCCUGAUCCAGCCAUGCCGCGUGCAGGAUGACGGUCCUAUGGAUUGUAAACUGCUUUUGUACAGGAAGAAACACUACUUCGUGAAGUAGCUUGACGGUACUGUAAGAUAAGGAUCGGCUAACUCCGUGCCAGCAGCCGCGGUAAA
RNAcentral lists this ribosomal RNA (495 nucleotides) under uncultured bacterium. Its description in RNAcentral is "bacterial SSU rRNA". It matches the Rfam family "Bacterial small subunit ribosomal RNA", at positions 28 to 524 of the family's 1533-position model. The record is from RNAcentral.